CGCGUAGGUGGUUGUGUAAGUCGGAUGUGAAAUCCCCAGGCUCAACUUGGGAACCGCAUCCGAUACUGCAUGACUCGAGUGCAGCGGAGGGAAACGGAAUUCCUGGUGUAGAGGUGAAAUUCGUAGAUAUCAGGAGGAACACCGGUGGCGAAGGCGGUUUCCUGGGCUGACACUGACACUGAGGCGCGAAAGCGUGGGUAGCAAACAGGAUUAGAUACCCUGGUAGUCCACGCUGUAAACGGUGAGUGCUGGGUGUGGGAGGUGUAAUGCCUUCUGUGCCGAAGCUAACGCGUUAAGCACUCCGCCUGGGGAGUACGGCCGCAAGGUUGAA
Molecule: ribosomal RNA, 331 nt
Filed under: uncultured bacterium
Lineage: Bacteria
Description: bacterial SSU rRNA
Rfam family: Bacterial small subunit ribosomal RNA
Source: RNAcentral